GUAGGUGGCAAGCGUUGUCCGGAAUUAUUGGGCGUAAAGCGCGCGCAGGCGGUUCUUUAAGUCUGAUGUGAAAGCCCACGGCUCAACCGUGGAGGGUCAUUGGAAACUGGAGAACUUGAGUACAGAAGAGGAAAGCGGAAUUCCACGUGUAGCGGUGAAAUGCGUAGAGAUGUGGAGGAACACCAGUGGCGAAGGCGGCUUUCUGGUCUGUAACUGACGCUGAGGCGCGAAAGCGUGGGGAGCAAACAGGGAUUAGAUACCCUGGUGGUCCACGCCGUAAACGAUGAGUGCUAAGUGUUAGGGGGGUUUCCGCCCCCUUAGUGCUGCAGCUAACGCAUUAAGCACUCCGCCUGGGGAGUACGGCCGCAAGGCUG
Molecule: ribosomal RNA, 374 nt
Filed under: uncultured organism
Description: partial 16S ribosomal RNA
Rfam family: Bacterial small subunit ribosomal RNA
Source: RNAcentral